AACGAACGCUGGCGGCAUGCCUCAUACAUGCAAGUCGAACGAGGUCUUCGGACCUAGUGGCGCACGGGUGAGUAACAUGUGGGAAUCUACCUGAAGGUUCGGAAUAACUGCGGGAAACUGUAGCUAAUACCGGAUGUGUCUGAAAAGAGAAAGAUUUAUCGCCUUCAGAUGAGCCCGCACUAGAUUAGCUAGUUGGUGAGGUAAUUGCUCCACCAAGGCUACGAUCUAUAGCUGAUUUGAGAGGAUGAUCAGCCACACUGGGACUGAGACACGGCCCAGACUCCUACGGGAGGCAGCAGUAGGGAAUAUUGGACAAUGGGGGAAACCCUGAUCCAGCAAUGCCGCGUGAGUGAAGAAGGCCUUCGGGUUGUAAAGCUCUUUCAUCAAUGAUGAUAAUGACAUUAGUUGAAGAAGAAGCCCCGGCUAACUUCGUGCCAGCAGCCGCGGUAAUACGAAGGGGGCUAGCGUUGUUCGGAAUCACUGGGCGUAAAGCGUAUGUAGGCGGAUCAAAAAGUUAGAUGUGAAAUCCCUGGGCUCAACCCAGGAACUGCAUUUAAAACUAGUGAUCUAGAAUUUGGUAGGGGCCAGUAGAAUUUCCAGUGUAGAGGUGAAAUUCGUAGAUAUUGGAAAGAAUACCAGUGGCGAAGGCGACUGGCUGGGCCAUUUUUGACGCUGAGAUACGAAAGCGUGGGUAGCAAACAGGAUUAGAUACCCUGGUAGUCCACGCAGUAAACGAUGAGUGCUAGUCGCUGGGACAAUAGUUUCAGUGUCGAAGCUAACGCAUUAAGCACUCCGCCUGGGAAGUACGGUCGCAAGAUUAAAACUCAAAUAAAUUGACGGGGGCCCGCACAAGCGGUGGAGCAUGUGGUUUAAUUCGAAGCAACGCGAAGAACCUUACCAGACCUUGACAUGGUAUGUUUGAAUUACAGAAUCGUAAUUCUUCAGUUCGGCUGGCAUACACACAGGUGCUGCAUGGCUGUCGUCAGCUCGUGUCGUGAGAUGUUGGGUUAAGUCCCGCAACGAGCGCAACCCUCAUUUUUAGUUGCCAUCAGGUCAAGCUGGGCACUCUAAAAAAACUGCCGGUGAUAAGCUGGAGGAAGGCGGGGAUGACGUCAAGUCCUCAUGGCCCUUACGGUCUGGGCUACACACGUGCUACAAUGGUGGUGACAGUGGGCAGCAAUACUGCAAAGUAAAGCUAAUCCCAAAAAACCAUCUCAGUUCGGAUUGGACUCUGCAACUCGAGUCCAUGAAGUUGGAAUCGCUAGUAAUCGUAGAUCAGCGUGCUACGGUGAAUACGUUCUCGGGCCU
Molecule: ribosomal RNA, 1308 nt
Filed under: uncultured bacterium
Lineage: Bacteria
Description: bacterial SSU rRNA
Rfam family: Bacterial small subunit ribosomal RNA
Source: RNAcentral